GGGUUGUGAGGUUAAGCGACUAAGCGUACACGGUGGAUGCCCUGGCAGUCAGAGGCGAUGAAGGACGUGCUAAUCUGCGAUAAGCGUCGGUAAGGUGAUAUGAACCGUUAUAACCGGCGAUUUCCGAAUGGGGAAACCCAGUGUGAUUCGUCACACUAUCAUUAACUGAAUCCAUAGGUUAAUGAGGCGAACCGGGGGAACUGAAACAUCUAAGUACCCCGAGGAAAAGAAAUCAACCGAGAUUCCCCCAGUAGCGGCGAGCGAACGGGGAGCUGUGAGCUCGAUGAGUAGGGCGGGACACGUGGUAUCCUGUCUGAAUAUGGGGGGACCAUCCUCCAAGGCUAAAUACUCCUGACUGACCGAUAGUGAACCAGUACCGUGAGGGAAAGGCGAAAAGAACCCCGGCGAGGGGAGUGAAAAAGAACCUGAAACCGUGUACGUACAAGCAGUGGGAGCACGCUUAGGCGUGUGACUGCGUACCUUUUGUAUAAUGGGUCAGCGACUUAUAUUCUGUAGCAAGGUUAACCGAAUAGGGGAGCCGAAGGGAAACCGAGUCUUAACUGGGCGUUAAGUUGCAGGGUAUAGACCCGAAACCCGGUGAUCUAGCCAUGGGCAGGUUGAAGGUUGGGUAACACUAACUGGAGGACCGAACCGACUAAUGUUGAAAAAUUAGCGGAUGACUUGUGGCUGGGGGUGAAAGGCCAAUCAAACCGGGAGAUAGCUGGUUCUCCCCGAAAGCUAUUUAGGUAGCGCCUCGUGAAUUCAUCUCCGGGGGUAGAGCACUGUUUCGGCAAGGGGGUCAUCCCGACUUACCAACCCGAUGCAAACUGCGAAUACCGGAGAAUGUUAUCACGGGAGACACACGGCGGGUGCUAACGUCCGUCGUGAAGAGGGAAACAACCCAGACCGCCAGCUAAGGUCCCAAAGUCAUGGUUAAGUGGGAAACGAUGUGGGAAGGCCCAGACAGCCAGGAUGUUGGCUUAGAAGCAGCCAUCAUUUAAAGAAAGCGUAAUAGCUCACUGGUCGAGUCGGCCUGCGCGGAAGAUGUAACGGGGCUAAACCAUGCACCGAAGCUGCGGCAGCGACGCUUAUGCGUUGUUGGGUAGGGGAGCGUUCUGUAAGCCUGCGAAGGUGUGCUGUGAGGCAUGCUGGAGGUAUCAGAAGUGCGAAUGCUGACAUAAGUAACGAUAAAGCGGGUGAAAAGCCCGCUCGCCGGAAGACCAAGGGUUCCUGUCCAACGUUAAUCGGGGCAGGGUGAGUCGACCCCUAAGGCGAGGCCGAAAGGCGUAGUCGAUGGGAAACAGGUUAAUAUUCCUGUACUUGGUGUUACUGCGAAGGGGGGACGGAGAAGGCUAUGUUGGCCGGGCGACGGUUGUCCCGGUUUAAGCGUGUAGGCUGGUUUUCCAGGCAAAUCCGGAAAACUAAGGCUGAGGCGUGAUGACGAGGCACUACGGUGCUGAAGCAACAAAUGCCCUGCUUCCAGGAAAAGCCUCUAAGCAUCAGGUAACAUCAAAUCGUACCCCAAACCGACACAGGUGGUCAGGUAGAGAAUACCAAGGCGCUUGAGAGAACUCGGGUGAAGGAACUAGGCAAAAUGGUGCCGUAACUUCGGGAGAAGGCACGCUGAUAUGUAGGUGAAGUCCCUCGCGGAUGGAGCUGAAAUCAGUCGAAGAUACCAGCUGGCUGCAACUGUUUAUUAAAAACACAGCACUGUGCAAACACGAAAGUGGACGUAUACGGUGUGACGCCUGCCCGGUGCCGGAAGGUUAAUUGAUGGGGUCAGCGCAAGCGAAGCUCUUGAUCGAAGCCCCGGUAAACGGCGGCCGUAACUAUAACGGUCCUAAGGUAGCGAAAUUCCUUGUCGGGUAAGUUCCGACCUGCACGAAUGGCGUAAUGAUGGCCAGGCUGUCUCCACCCGAGACUCAGUGAAAUUGAACUCGCUGUGAAGAUGCAGUGUACCCGCGGCAAGACGGAAAGACCCCGUGAACCUUUACUAUAGCUUGACACUGAACAUUGAGCCUUGAUGUGUAGGAUAGGUGGGAGGCUUUGAAGUGUGGACGCCAGUCUGCAUGGAGCCGACCUUGAAAUACCACCCUUUAAUGUUUGAUGUUCUAACGUUGACCCGUGAUCCGGGUUGCGGACAGUGUCUGGUGGGUAGUUUGACUGGGGCGGUCUCCUCCUAAAGAGUAACGGAGGAGCACGAAGGUUGGCUAAUCCUGGUCGGACAUCAGGAGGUUAGUGCAAUGGCAUAAGCCAGCUUGACUGCGAGCGUGACGGCGCGAGCAGGUGCGAAAGCAGGUCAUAGUGAUCCGGUGGUUCUGAAUGGAAGGGCCAUCGCUCAACGGAUAAAAGGUACUCCGGGGAUAACAGGCUGAUACCGCCCAAGAGUUCAUAUCGACGGCGGUGUUUGGCACCUCGAUGUCGGCUCAUCACAUCCUGGGGCUGAAGUAGGUCCCAAGGGUAUGGCUGUUCGCCAUUUAAAGUGGUACGCGAGCUGGGUUUAGAACGUCGUGAGACAGUUCGGUCCCUAUCUGCCGUGGGCGCUGGAGAACUGAGGGGGGCUGCUCCUAGUACGAGAGGACCGGAGUGGACGCAUCACUGGUGUUCGGGUUGUCAUGCCAAUGGCACUGCCCGGUAGCUAAAUGCGGAAGAGAUAAGUGCUGAAAGCAUCUAAGCACGAAACUUGCCCCGAGAUGAGUUCUCCCUGACUCCUUGAGAGUCCUGAAGGAACGUUGAAGACGACGACGUUGAUAGGCCGGGUGUGUAAGCGCAGCGAUGCGUUGAGCUAACCGGUACUAAUGAACCGUGAGGCUUAACCUUACAACGCCGAAGGUGUUU
This 2838-nucleotide ribosomal RNA is filed under the name Escherichia coli. RNAcentral describes it as "23S ribosomal RNA". It matches the Rfam family "Bacterial large subunit ribosomal RNA". The record is from RNAcentral. Lineage: Bacteria; Pseudomonadati; Pseudomonadota; Gammaproteobacteria; Enterobacterales; Enterobacteriaceae.